RNAcentral lists this ribosomal RNA (400 nucleotides) under uncultured bacterium. RNAcentral describes it as "bacterial SSU rRNA". It matches the Rfam family "Bacterial small subunit ribosomal RNA", at positions 355 to 767 of the family's 1533-position model. The record is from RNAcentral.
UCGAGGAUCUUCGGCAAUGGGCGCAAGCCUGACCGAGCGACGCCGCGUGAGCGAUGAAGGCCUUCGGGUCGUAAAGCUCUGUCGGGGGGAAGAAAAGGCAACUUGAUCGACCCCCGGAGGAAGCACGGGCUAAGUUCGUGCCAGCAGCCGCGGUAAGACGAACCGUGCAAACGUUAUUCGGAAUCACUGGGCUUAAAGGGCGCGUAGGCGGGUCGGUAAGUCAGGGGUGAAAGCCCACGGCCCAACCGUGGAAGUGCCUUUGAUACUGCUGACCUCGAGGGGGAUAGGGGCGUGCGGAACUCAGAGUGGAGCGGUGAAAUGCGUAGAUAUUCUGAGGAACACCGGUGGCGAAAGCGGCGCGCUGGAUCCCUACUGACGCUGAGGCGCGAAAGCCAGGGGA